This 474-nucleotide ribosomal RNA is filed under the name uncultured bacterium. RNAcentral's name for it is "bacterial SSU rRNA". It matches the Rfam family "Bacterial small subunit ribosomal RNA", at positions 38 to 507 of the family's 1533-position model. The record is from RNAcentral.
GGCGGCGUGCUUAAUCAUGCAAGUCAACUGAAGCACCGGUAGUAAUACUGGGUUGUGGAGGUGGCGCACGGGUGAGUAACACGUAGGUAAUCUGCCUUCAGGUCUGACAUAACCCCGAGAAAUCGGGGCUAAUAGCAGAUGAUGCAGCGGCUUGACAUCAAGACAGGUUGUUAAAGCUUCGGCGCCUGAAGAUGAGCCCUGCGUCUGAUUAGCUAGUUGGCGGAGUAAUAGCCCACCAAGGCGACGAUCAGUAGCUGGUCUGAGAGGAUGAUCAGCCACACUGGGACUGAGACACGGUCCAGACUCCUACGGGAGGCAGCAGUAAGGAAUAUUGCUCAAUGGGAGAAAUCCUGAAGCAGCAACGCCGCGUGAGGGAUGAAGGGCUUUUGCUCGUAAACCUCUGUAGUGAGGGAAAAAAUUUCCAUUCUAUGGAAUAUGAUGGUACCUCAAAAGUAAGCCCCGGCUAACUACGUG